RNAcentral lists this long non-coding RNA (366 nucleotides) under Betta splendens (Siamese fighting fish). RNAcentral describes it as "lncRNA (ENSBSLG00000014990.1)". The record is from RNAcentral. Lineage: Eukaryota; Metazoa; Chordata; Actinopteri; Anabantiformes; Osphronemidae.
CUUUAAGAAGAAUACGACUUUCCAGGCGGGGCUGAAGACGCUGGAGGCAGGAUGACCAUGCAGAGGCAGAAGGAAUGAGGCCGUGCAGGUGGAUCUGACUGCUGCACAUGAGGCACGUCGGUCCCAAAGAAGCCCUGCGAUGACGAGCAGAGCCUUUUGUUGUGCUCUGACUCAGAGGAGGCCGCUGCUCCCAGCACAGGAUUCGUCAGGUACUUGACCACGAAAUGCUGUGAAAACGAAAGGAGCUGCUGAACAUGAGCGGGCGCUUUCACACGGCUUUUGACUCACCUUUGGCUCCAAAACCAGAAUCUGCUUCUAAUUGAUCACUACAGUCCUGUCAUGAGCCGAACACCUCCCGCUUCACGU